AUUGAACGCUGGCGGAAUGCUUUACACAUGCAAGUCGAACGGCAGCACGGGGGCAGCCCUGGUGGCGAGUGGCGAACGGGUGAGUAAUACAUCGGAACGUGCCCGGUCGUGGGGGAUAACGUAGCGAGAGUUACGCUAAUACCGCAUACGAUCUGAGGAUGAAAGCGGGGGACCUUCGGGCCUCGCGCGAUCGGAGCGGCCGAUGUCAGAUUAGGUAGUUGGUGGGGUAAAGGCCUACCAAGCCGACGAUCUGUAGCUGGUCUGAGAGGACGACCAGCCACGCUGGGACUGAGACACGGCCCAGACUCCUACGGGAGGCAGCAGUGGGGAAUUUUGGACAAUGGGCGCAAGCCUGAUCCAGCCAUUCCGCGUGCAGGACGAAGGCCUUCGGGUUGUAAACUGCUUUUGUACGGAACGAAAAGGCUCUGGCUAAUACCUGGGGCUCAUGACGGUACCGUAAGAAUAAGCACCGGCUAACUACGUG
This 484-nucleotide ribosomal RNA is filed under the name uncultured bacterium. Its description in RNAcentral is "partial 16S ribosomal RNA". It matches the Rfam family "Bacterial small subunit ribosomal RNA", at positions 29 to 507 of the family's 1533-position model. The record is from RNAcentral.